RNAcentral lists this ribosomal RNA (395 nucleotides) under uncultured bacterium. Its description in RNAcentral is "partial 16S ribosomal RNA". It matches the Rfam family "Bacterial small subunit ribosomal RNA", at positions 338 to 733 of the family's 1533-position model. The record is from RNAcentral.
CCUACGGGUGGCAGCAGUGGGGAAUAUUGCACAAUGGGGGAAACCCUGAUGCAGCGACGCCGCGUGAGUGAAGAAGUAUUUCGGUAUGUAAAGCUCUAUCAGCAGGGAAGAAACCCACCCUCCGGGGUGGCUGACGGUACCUGACUAAGAAGCCCCGGCUAACUACGUGCCAGCAGCCGCGGUAAUACGUAGGGGGCAAGCGUUAUCCGGAAUUACGGGGUGUAAAGGGUGCGUAGACGGCUGUGCAAGUCUGGAGUGAAAGGCGGGGGCCCAACACCAGGACUGCUUGGGAAACGGGAUGGAUGGAGUGCAGGAGAGGUAAGGGGAAUGCCUAGGGUAGCGGUGAAAGGAGGAGAUAUGAGGAGGAACAGCGGUGGCGAAGGAGGAAGACCGGA